GUGGGGAAUCUUGCGCAAUGGGCGAAAGCCUGACGCAGCCAUGCCGCGUGGAUGAUGAAGGUCUUAGGAUUGUAAAAUCCUUUCACCGGUGAAGAUAAUGACUGUAGCCGGAGAAGAAGCCCCGGCUAACUUCGUGCCAGCAGCCGGGUAAUACGAAGGGGGCUAGCGUUGCUCGGAUUUACUGGGCGGAAAGGGCGCGUAGGCGGACAUUUAAGUCAGGGGUGAAAUCCCGGGGCUCAACCUCGGAACUGCCUUUGAUACUGGGUGUCUUGAGUGUGAGAGAGGUGAGUGGAACUCCGAGUGUAGAGGUGAAAUUCGUAGAUAUUCGGAAGAACACCAGUGGCGAAGGCGACUCACUGGCUCAUUACUGACGCUGAGGCUCGAAAGCGUGGGGAGCAAACAGGAUUAGAAACCCUGGUAGUCC
This 424-nucleotide ribosomal RNA is filed under the name uncultured bacterium. Its description in RNAcentral is "partial 16S ribosomal RNA". It matches the Rfam family "Bacterial small subunit ribosomal RNA", at positions 354 to 796 of the family's 1533-position model. The record is from RNAcentral.